CUUUGUUUGUACUUUUGCCAUUGUACAUAUUUUGCAUUUUUGUUAAGAUCUCUCUCAUAACCAGCUAGUCGGAACUUGGAAGCACCCCACCAAGCAUUUGUACAUCUUCAUCUGUUUUGCAACUUCCAGUGUGGCUUUCAAUAAUCUUUGUUGCAGAAUCCUAUUGGAAUAAGUUUGACGCCUUUGCAAUAUCAUGAUAUGAAGGUAAUGUGACCAUUACAAAAUGCCUGCGCAUUUCAGAGUGUUGCUCAAGAACAUGAAGGGAAAGAGAGGCAUGGGAUUCUUUGGUUUUCUUCUCUAUUAUUACUGUUUCAUAUGCUGUGGAGUUCUGGGUCACUGCUCCCCAUAUUCUCAAGAGGAAAUGGCACAGGGCACAUUCUGGAUAGGGCUUCAUUCGUCAUUCGACCCUUUACUAAACUAUAGUAUAAAUAGGUGGGGGGAAUCUGGAUGAGAAUUGCAGUGCGGAACAAGAUUGAUGAGUGAAUCUACUCUUCUGAGUUGAAACACUUUAUUUCAAUUCACUGCUUGUCUGAAUCGCAAAACCACAAACAAUAGAAAAUCGAAUUCUGUAUUUUGAAUGUAAAAGUGAGGAGUGUUGAGAGAUGGGGUGAGAGAUCGAGUAUGGACGCCAAGUUGUUGUUGUUGUUAUGCUGUUGCUGCAUUGCCGCAGUGAUGCUUGCAAUUGUUGAAGACGGUUUGUUCAGCUCAAAUGAAUGCUCAUGUGAUACCUUGCAAGCAACAAUUAGAA
This is a long non-coding RNA of Ipomoea triloba (trilobed morning glory), 748 nucleotides long. RefSeq lists it as uncharacterized. The transcript has 2 exons. The record is from RefSeq and is a predicted model, not a curated record. Lineage: Eukaryota; Viridiplantae; Streptophyta; Magnoliopsida; Solanales; Convolvulaceae.